GCCCAGACUCCUACGGGAGGCAGCAGUGGGGAAUAUUGGGCAAUGGGCGAAAGCCUGACCCAGCAAUGCCGCGUGAAUGAAGAAGGUCUUAGGAUUGUAAAAUUCUGUCCUAUGGGAAGAAACAAAUGACGGUACCAUAGGAGGAAGCCCCGGCUAACUACGUGCCAGCAGCCGCGGUAAUACGUAGGGGGCAAGCGUUAUCCGGAUUUACUGGGUGUAAAGGGAGCGUAGACGGCAGCGCAAGUCUGGAGUGAAAUGCCGGGGCUCAACCCCGGAACUGCUUUGGAAACUGUGCAGCUAGAGUGCGGGAGAGGUAAGCGGAAUUCCUAGUGUAGCGGUGAAAUGCGUAGAUAUUAGGAGGAACACCAGUGGCGAAGGCGGCUUACUGGACCGUAACUGACGUUGAGGCUCGAAAGCGUGGGGAGCAAACAGGAUUAGAUACCCCAGUAG
This 450-nucleotide ribosomal RNA is filed under the name uncultured bacterium. Its description in RNAcentral is "bacterial SSU rRNA". It matches the Rfam family "Bacterial small subunit ribosomal RNA", at positions 329 to 793 of the family's 1533-position model. The record is from RNAcentral.